GAUGAAGAACGCAGCGAAAUGCGAUAAGUAAUGUGAAUUGCAGAAUUCAGUGAACCAUCGAAUCUUUGAACGCACAUUGCGCCCGCCAGUAUUCUGGCGGGCAUGCCUGUCCGAGCGUCAUUUCAACCCUCGAACCCCUCCGGGGGGUCGGCGUUGGGGAUCGGCCCUGCCUCUUGGCGGUGGCCGUCUCCGAAAUACAGUGGCGGUCUCGCCGCAGCCUCUCCUGCGCAGUAGUUUGCACACUCGCAUCGGGAGCGCGGCGCGUCCACAGCCGUUAAACACCCAACUUCUGAAAUGUUGACCUCGGAUCAGGUAGGAAUACCCGCUGAACUUAAGCAUAUCAAUAAGCGGAGGA
Molecule: unclassified non-coding RNA, 355 nt
Filed under: soil metagenome
Description: partial contains 5.8S ribosomal RNA, internal transcribed spacer 2, and large subunit ribosomal RNA
Rfam family: 5.8S ribosomal RNA (bases 1-120)
Source: RNAcentral